CGAGAGUGCCUUCCGCAGCAGUGGCGAUCAGGACCUAGACAAUCCAGAUCCUCCCUGCACAGAAGGCACUUUCUUCGUCACCACACCGAACGACCAGCCAGCCAGUCCACGGAUCGAG
Molecule: non-coding RNA, 118 nt
Organism: Jiangella alkaliphila
Lineage: Bacteria; Bacillati; Actinomycetota; Actinomycetes; Jiangellales; Jiangellaceae
Source: Rfam